AUGAAUACCUAUGGAUUCCACCUCCUUGACUUCACCCCCAAUGCUGUCCUGACCAUGGCAGUUUUCGCACAUCUCUGCGAAAACUUUGUCGGAGUCCUUCCCAACGUAGCCCUCUUCCGCCACUUCUUCAUACCCCGAGUAGAGAGAGGAGAGGCUCUAUCCGGCGGAAUCGCCUGGAUCUCAAGGGCCGGCAAGAAGGAAACGUAUCUGGAGGGAGAAUUCCACGGCAAGUGGGAGGAGUGGAGGGCAGAUUGGUGCUGGAUUGACGAGGAGAGCCCGCAGCCAUUCACCACCCGGCGUCGAACCCCAGUAGCACGCGGCAGCGAUUGGAGCUACGUCGCCCCGGAAGACGACAGGCUGAAGAUUGCCGUCACCAGGAUCUUGCGCCUCAGGCUUGCCGAGCUUACUGUUGGCGCUGUUGGUGUAGACUUUCUUCGCCGCCGCAUCGCCCCUCUGCAGGAACGGGGGAGACCCACUUGGGAGUUCAAGAACGCGGCGGACAUACUAAGUGUCGACAUAGGUAGGGUGUAUGCUAACUUACCAUCUGUCGGCAUAGGUAGGGUGUACAUGGACAGACCAUGUGUCGGCGUAUGUGGGGUGUACAUAGACAGACCAUGUGUCGGCGUAGAUAGGGUGUAUGCCAACUAG
This 648-nucleotide ribosomal RNA is filed under the name Triticum aestivum (bread wheat). RNAcentral's name for it is "partial small subunit ribosomal RNA". Lineage: Eukaryota; Viridiplantae; Streptophyta; Magnoliopsida; Poales; Poaceae. The record is from RNAcentral.